This 70-nucleotide transfer RNA is filed under the name Validiblatta australasiae (Australian cockroach). RNAcentral describes it as "tRNA-Glu". It matches the Rfam family "tRNA". From Rfam's summary of the family: Transfer RNA (tRNA) molecules are approximately 80 nucleotides in length. Their secondary structure includes four short double-helical elements and three loops (D, anti-codon, and T loops). The record is from RNAcentral. Lineage: Eukaryota; Metazoa; Arthropoda; Insecta; Blattodea; Blattidae.
AUUUAUAUAGUUUAAAAUAAUUCAAAACACUACAUUUUCACUGUAGAAACAAAGAAAUCUUUUAUAAAUA